UACGGAGGGUGCAAGCGUUAAUCGGAAUUACUGGGCGUAAAGCGCACGCAGGCGGUUGUGUAAGUCAGAUGUGAAAUCCCCGGGCUCAACCUGGGAACUGCAUUUGAUACUGGCAGGCUUGAGUGUCGUAGAGGGGGGUGGAAUUCCGGGUGUAGCGGUGAAAUGCGUAGAGAUCCGGAGGAACACCGGUGGCGAAGGCGGCCCCCUGGGCGAACACUGACGCUCAGGUGCGAAAGCGUGGGGAGCGAACAGG
This 253-nucleotide ribosomal RNA is filed under the name uncultured bacterium. Its description in RNAcentral is "partial 16S ribosomal RNA". It matches the Rfam family "Bacterial small subunit ribosomal RNA", at positions 524 to 776 of the family's 1533-position model. The record is from RNAcentral.